RNAcentral lists this long non-coding RNA (3447 nucleotides) under Oncorhynchus mykiss (rainbow trout). RNAcentral describes it as "lncRNA (ENSOMYG00000074168.1)". Lineage: Eukaryota; Metazoa; Chordata; Actinopteri; Salmoniformes; Salmonidae. The record is from RNAcentral.
AUGUGGAGGCUAUAUACAGGGGGUACCGGUACAGAGUCAAUGUGGAGGCUAUAUACAGGGUAUUACGGUACAGAGUCAAUGUGGAGGCUAUAUACAGGGUAUUACGGUACAGAGUCAAUGUGGAGGCUAUAUACAGGGUAUUACGGUACAGAGUCAAUGUGGAGGCUAUAUACAGGGUAUUACGGUACAGAGUCAAUGUGGAGGCUAUAUACAGGGGGUACUGGUACAGAGUCAAUGUGGAGGCUAUAUACAGGGGGUACCGGUACAGAGUCAAUGUGGAGGCUAUAUACAGGGGGUACCGGUACAGAGUCAAUGUGGAGGCUAUAUACAGGGGGUACCGGUACAGAGUCAAUGUGGAGGCUAUAUACAGGGGGUACCAGUACAGAGUCAAUGUGGAGGCUAUAUACAGGGGGUACCGGUACAGAGUCAAUGUGGAGGCUAUAUACAGGGGGUACCGGUACAGAGUCAAUGGGGAGGCUAUAUACAGGGGGUACCGGUACAGAGUCAAUGGGGAGGCUAUAUACAGGGGGUCCCGGUACAGAGUCAAUGGGGAGGCUAUAUACAGGGGGUACCGGUACAGAGUCAAUGGGGAGGCUAUAUACAGGGGGUACCGGUACAGAGUCAAUGUGGAGACUAUAUACAGGGGGUACCGGUACAGAGUCAAUGUGGAGACUAUAUACAGGGGGUACCGGUACAGAGUCAAUGGGGAGGCUAUAUACAGGGGGUACCGGUACAGAGAGAAUGUGGAGGCUAUAUACAGGGUAUUACGGUACAGAGUCAAAGUGGAGGUUAUAUACAGGGUAUUACGGUACAGAGUCAAUGUGGAGGCUAUAUACAGGGUAUUACGGUACAGAGUCAAUGUGGAGGCUAUAUACAGGGUAUUACGGUACAGAGUCAAUGUGGAGGCUAUAUACAGGGUAUUACGGUACAGAGUCAAUGUGGAGGCUAUAUACAGGGUAUUACGGUACAGAGUCAAUGUGGAGGCUAUAUACAGGGGGUACUGGUACAGAGUCAAUGUGGAGGCUAUAUACAGGGGGUACCAGUACAGAGUCAAUGUGGAGGCUAUAUAUAGGGGGUACCGGUACAGAGUCAAUGUGGAGGCUAUAUACAGGGUGUUACUGGUACAGAGUCAAUGUGGAGGCUAUAUACAGGGGUUACCGGUACAGAGAGAAUGUGGAGGCUAUAUACAGGGGGUACCGGUACAGAGUGAAUGUGGAGGCUAUAUACAGGGGGUACCGGUACAGAGUCAAUGUGGAGGCUAUAAACAGGGGGUACCAGUACAGAGUCAAUGUGGAGGCUAUAUACAGGGGCUACCGGUACAGAGUCAAUGUGGAGGCUAUAUACAGGGUAUUACGGUACAGAGUCAAUGUGGAGGCUAUAUACAGGGUAUUACGGUACAGAGUCAAUGUGGAGGCUAUAUACAGGGUAUUACGGUACAGAGUCAAUGUGGAGGCUAUAUACAGGGUAUUACGGUACAGAGUCAAUGUGGAGGCUAUAUACAGGGGGUACUGGUACAGAGUCAAUGUGGAGGCUAUAUACAGGGGGUACCGGUACAGAGUCAAUGUGGAGGCUAUAUACAGGGGGUACCGGUACAGAGUCAAUGUGGAGGCUAUAUACAGGGGGUACCGGUACAGAGUCAAUGUGGAGGCUAUAUACAGGGGGUACCGAUACAGAGUCAAUGGGGAGGCUAUAUACAGGGGGUACCGGUACAGAGUCAAUGGGGAGGCUAUAUACAGGGGGUCCCGGUACAGAGUCAAUGGGGAGGCUAUAUACAGGGGGUACCGGUACAGAGUCAAUGGGGAGGCUAUAUGCAGGGGGUACCGGUACAGAGAGAAUGUGGAGGCUAUAUACAGGGUAUUACGGUACAGAGUCAAUGUGGAGGUUAUAUACAGGGUAUUACGGUACAGAGUCAAUGUGGAGGCUAUAUACAGGGUAUUACGGUACAGAGUCAAUGUGGAGGCUAUAUACAGGGUAUUACGGUACAGAGUCAAUGUGGAGGCUAUAUACAGGGUAUUACGGUACAGAGUCAAUGUGGAGGCUAUAUACAGGGUAUUACAGUACAGAGUCAAUGUGGAGGCUAUAUACAGGGGGUACUGGUACAGAGUCAAUGUGGAGGCUAUAUACAGGGGGUACCAGUACAGAGUCAAUGUGGAGGCUAUAUAUAGGGGGUACCGGUACAGAGUCAAUGUGGAGGCUAUAUACAGGAGGUACUGGUACAGAGUCAAUGUGGAGGCUAUAUACAGGGGGUACCAGUACAGAGUCAAUGUGGAGGCUAUAUACAGGGUGUUACGCUACAGAGUCAAUGUGGAGGCUAUAUACAGGGGUUACCGGUACAGAGAGAAUGUGGAGGCUAUAUACAGGGGGUACCGGUACAGAGUGAAUGUGGAGGCUAUAUACAGGGGGUCCCGGUACAGAGUCAAUGGGGAGGCUAUAUACAGGGGGUACCGGUACAGAGUCAAUGGGGAGGCUAUAUACAGGGGGUACCGGUACAGAGAGAAUGUGGAGGCUAUAUACAGGGUAUUACGGUACAGAGUCAAUGUGGAGGUUAUAUACAGGGUAUUACGGUACAGAGUCAAUGUGGAGGCUAUAUACAGGGUAUUACGGUACAGAGUCAAUGUGGAGGCUAUAUACAGGGUAUUACGGUACAGAGUCAAUGUGGAGGCUAUAUACAGGGUAUUACGGUACAGAGUCAAUGUGGAGGCUAUAUACAGGGUAUUACGGUACAGAGUCAAUGUGGAGGCUAUAUACAGGGGGUACUGGUACAGAGUCAAUGUGGAGGCUAUAUACAGGGGGUACCAGUACAGAGUCAAUGUGGAGGCUAUAUAUAGGGGGUACCGGUACAGAGUCAAUGUGGAGGCUAUAUACAGGGUGUUACUGGUACAGAGUCAAUGUGGAGGCUAUAUACAGGGGUUACCGGUACAGAGAGAAUGUGGAGGCUAUAUACAGGGGGUACCGGUACAGAGUGAAUGUGGAGGCUAUAUACAGGGGGUACCGGUACAGAGUCAAUGUGGAGGCUAUAUACAGGGGGUACCAGUACAGAGUCAAUGUGGAGGCUAUAUACAGGGGGUACCGGUACAGAGUCAAUGUGGAGGCUAUAUACAGGGUAUUACGGUACAGAGUCAAUGUGGAGGCUAUAUACAGGGUAUUACGGUACAGAGUCAAUGUGGAGGCUAUAUACAGGGUAUUACGGUACAGAGUCAAUGUGGAGGCUAUAUACAGGGUAUUACGGUACAGAGUCAAUGUGGAGGCUAUAUACAGGGGGUACUGGUACAGAGUCAAUGUGGAGGCUAUAUACAGGGGGUACCAGUACAGAGUCAAUGUGGAGGCUAUAUACAGGGGGUACCGGUACAGAGUCAAUGUGGAGGCUAUAUACAGGGGGUACCGGUACAGAGUCAAUGUGGAGGCUAUAUACAGGUGGUACCAGUACAGAGUCAAUGUGGAGGCUAA